GCCGGCGUAGCUCAGUUGGUAGAGCAGCUGAUUCGUAAUCAGCAGGUCUGGGGUUCAAGUCCCCACGCCGGCUCCA
This 76-nucleotide transfer RNA is filed under the name Desulfobacteraceae bacterium. RNAcentral describes it as "tRNA-Thr". It matches the Rfam family "tRNA". From Rfam's summary of the family: Transfer RNA (tRNA) molecules are approximately 80 nucleotides in length. Their secondary structure includes four short double-helical elements and three loops (D, anti-codon, and T loops). Further hydrogen bonds mediate the characteristic L-shaped molecular structure. tRNAs have two regions of fundamental functional importance: the anti-codon, which is responsible for specific mRNA codon recognition, and the 3' end, to which the tRNAs corresponding amino acid is attached (by aminoacyl-tRNA synthetases). tRNAs cope with the degeneracy of the genetic code in two manners: having more than one tRNA (with a specific anti-codon) for a particular amino acid; and 'wobble' base-pairing, i.e. permitting non-standard base-pairing at the 3rd anti-codon position. Lineage: Bacteria; Pseudomonadati; Thermodesulfobacteriota; Desulfobacteria; Desulfobacterales; Desulfobacteraceae. The record is from RNAcentral.